GCAGUCGGUCAUUCUGUCGCUGUUUUGAACUCAUUUAAGACAGAGGAAAGUCCGGACAACACAGAGCAUUGUACUUCCUGGCGGAAGAUACUCGUGAGGGUAUAGUAACGAAGAAGAAAAUAACCGCCCUGAACUUGUUUCGGGGUAAGGGUGAGAAGGUGAAUUAAGAACUCAUCGGUAUUGAAGGUGACUUUAAUAACUGUUCGUCUUACAAGUUGCAAUCUCAUGUAUAUCAGCAUUUAAGGGUUGCUCGUCCGAUGCUGAGGGGUAGAGAGCGAAGAUAAAUGACAGAUUAAAACAGAAUCCGGCUUACGGACCGACUGCUUUU
This 328-nucleotide RNase P RNA is filed under the name Bacteroidota bacterium. RNAcentral's name for it is "Bacteroidetes bacterium RNase P RNA component class A". It matches the Rfam family "Bacterial RNase P class A". From Rfam's summary of the family: Ribonuclease P (RNase P) is a ubiquitous endoribonuclease, found in archaea, bacteria and eukarya as well as chloroplasts and mitochondria. Its best characterised activity is the generation of mature 5'-ends of tRNAs by cleaving the 5'-leader elements of precursor-tRNAs. Lineage: Bacteria; Pseudomonadati; Bacteroidota. The record is from RNAcentral.